RNAcentral lists this ribosomal RNA (468 nucleotides) under uncultured bacterium. RNAcentral's name for it is "partial 16S ribosomal RNA". It matches the Rfam family "Bacterial small subunit ribosomal RNA", at positions 28 to 507 of the family's 1533-position model. The record is from RNAcentral.
GACGAACGCUGGCGGCGGGCUUAACACAUGCAAGUCGAACGGAAAGGCCCUGCUUUUGUGUGGUGCUCGAGUGGCGAACGGGUGAGUAACACGUGAGUCACCUGCCCUUGACUUUGGGAUAACUUCAGGAAACUGGUGCUAAUACCGGAUAGGAGCUCCUGCUGCAUGGUGGGGGUUGGAAAGUUUAGGCGGAUGGGGAUGGACGCGCGGCUUAUCAGCUUGUUGGUGGGGUAGUGGCUUACCAAGGCUUUGGCGGGUAGGCGGCCUGAGAGGGUGACCGGCCACAUUGGGACUGAGAUACGGACCAGAGUCCUACGGGAGGCAGCAGUGGGGAAUAUGGUACAAUGGGGGGAAGCGUGAUGAAGAAACGCCGGGUGCGGGAUGAAGGCUUUGGGGUUGUAAACCGCUUUAGGCUGUGACGAAGCGUGAGUGACGGUAAUGGGUAAAGAAGCACCGGCUAACUACGUG